RNAcentral lists this ribosomal RNA (560 nucleotides) under uncultured bacterium. Its description in RNAcentral is "bacterial SSU rRNA". It matches the Rfam family "Bacterial small subunit ribosomal RNA", at positions 338 to 916 of the family's 1533-position model. The record is from RNAcentral.
CCUACGGGAGGCAGCAGUGGGAAAUCUUGGACAAUGGGCGCAAGCCUGAUCCAGCCAUGCCGCGUGAGUGAUGAAGGCCCUAGGGUCGUAAAGCUCUUUCGCCAGGGAUGAUAAUGACAGUACCUGGUAAAGAAACCCCGGCUAACUCCGUGCCAGCAGCCGCGGUAAUACGGAGGGGGUUAGCGUUGUUCGGAAUUACUGGGCGUAAAGCGCGCGUAGGCGGACUAUUAAGUGAGGGGUGAAAUCCCGGGGCUCAACCCCGGAACUGCCUCUCAUACUGGUAGUCUAGAGUUCGAGAGAGGUGAGUGGAAUUCCGAGUGUAGAGGUGAAAUUCGUAGAUAUUCGGAGGAACACCAGUGGCGAAGGCGGCUCACUGGCUCGAUACUGACGCUGAGGUGCGAAAGUGUGGGGAGCAAACAGGAUUAGAUACCCUGGUAGUCCACACCGUAAACGAUGAAUGCCAGUCGUCGGGUAGUAUACUAUUCGGUGACACACCUAACGGAUUAAGCAUUCCGCCUGGGGAGUACGGUCGCAAGAUUAAAACUCAAAGGAAUUGACGG